This 858-nucleotide long non-coding RNA is filed under the name Vigna radiata. RNAcentral's name for it is "long non-coding RNA (VRAD_LNC011425)". Lineage: Eukaryota; Viridiplantae; Streptophyta; Magnoliopsida; Fabales; Fabaceae. The record is from RNAcentral.
AUUUUUAGGAUUUUAUGGUUUUUAAGAGGUAUUUUUCUGUUUUUAGGGUUUUUAAGGAGUAUUUUUGGGUUUUUAAGGCUUUUAAGGGAUAUUUUUUUGGGUAUUUUUGGGUGUUUAGGGUUUUUAAGGGAUAUUGUUUUGUUUUUGGGGUUUUUAAGGGCAUUUUUGGGUUUUUAUGGUUUUUAAGGGAUAUUUUUGGGUUUUUAGGAUUUUUNAGGGGAAAUUUUGGAUUUUUAGGGUUUUUUUGGGUAUUUUUGGGUUUUUAGCCUUUUUUAGGGGUAUUUUCAGAUUUUUAGGGUUUUUAAGGGGUAUUUUGGAGUUUUUAUGGUUUUUAAGGGGUAUUUUAGGGUUUUUAGGGGUUUUAAAAGGUAUUUUUGGGUUUUUAGGGUUUUUUAGGGGUAGUUUUGGGGUUUUAAGGUUUUUAAGCGAUAUUUUUCUGUUUUUGGGUUUUUAAGGGGCAUUUUUAGGUUUUUAUAGUUGCUUAGUGGUAUUUUUGGGAUUUUAGGGUUUUUAUGUGGUUUUUUUGAGUUUUUAGAGUAUUUAAGGGGUAUUUUCGGGUUUUUAUGAUUUUAAGGGGUAUUUUUGGGUUUUUAUGAUUUUUAAGGUGUAUUUUUGGGGUUUUAGGAUUUUUAAGGUGAAUUUUGGAGUUUUAGGGUGUUUUUUUAACUUUGAGUUUUUAGGGUUUGUUAAGGGUAUUUUCGGAUUUUUAGGGUUUUUAAGGGGUAUUUUCGGGUUUUUAGGGUUUUUAGGGGAUUUUUGGGUUUUUAAAGGAUAUUUUUCUGUUUUUAGGGUUUUAAGGGAUAUUUUUGGGUAUUUUUGGGUUUUUUUAACAAAAAAAUAUCCCUUAAAAACCCUAAA